This 469-nucleotide ribosomal RNA is filed under the name uncultured bacterium. RNAcentral describes it as "partial 16S ribosomal RNA". It matches the Rfam family "Bacterial small subunit ribosomal RNA", at positions 355 to 840 of the family's 1533-position model. The record is from RNAcentral.
UGGGGAAUAUUGCACAAUGGGCGAAAGCCUGAUGCAGCAACGCCGCGUGAGUGAUGAAGGUCUUCGGAUUGUAAAGCUCUGUCUUUUGGGACGAUAAUGACGGUACCAAAGGAGGAAGCCACGGCUAACUACGUGCCAGCAGCCGCGGUAAUACGUAGGUGGCGAGCGUUGUCCGGAUUUACUGGGCGUAAAGGGUGCGUAGGCGGAUGUUUAAGUGAGAUGUGAAAUACCCGGGCUUAACUUGGGUGCUGCAUUUCAAACUGGAUAUCUAGAGUGCAGGAGAGGAGAAUGGAAUUCCUAGUGUAGCGGUGAAAUGCGUAGAGAUUAGGAAGAACACCAGUGGCGAAGGCGAUUCUCUGGACUGUAACUGACGCUGAGGCACGAAAGCGUGGGUAGCAAACAGGAUUAGAUACCCUGGUAGUCCACGCCGUAAACGACGAGUACUAGGUGUAGGAGGUAUCGACCCCUU